Molecule: long non-coding RNA, 1008 nt
Organism: Lingula anatina
Lineage: Eukaryota; Metazoa; Brachiopoda; Lingulata; Lingulida; Lingulidae
Source: RefSeq, a predicted model, not a curated record
AAGCGGCAAGUAAGCGGAAUAGACACGCCAGAGGAACAACGGGAAAGGAGAACCGAAAACGGUGGGACUGCUUAGCGUUACCUCACAAACUUCAAUAGAAAAUGCCUGCCGUAUUGCCUCAAGUUUCCUUCCUGCUUGUGCUUUUGACCGCGUUUCCUCUCGCUGAUGGAAAAUACGAUCAAUUUUGGCUAUCAACGGAGCUGGUGUACGACAAGAGGUGUGGUCACUACGACCCCAACCUGUAUGUGUGCUGCAAGGGUGGCCUUAAGUACAGCGCCGGAGUACUAGGCUGCUGCGGCAAGAUGAUCUACAGCAGAGAAACCCAUACAUGUUGCUAUGGAAAACUCCACGUUGGUGCCAACAUGACCUGUUGCGGACAUCGCCCCUACUACAAGGAACACCAGACCUGCUGCGCCGGUAUUGUGCGCCAUGGGCGCAAUUAUUCGUGCUGCGGCAGCAGAGCCUUCCAUCCGCACUACUACACUUGUUGCCAAGGUGUCCUCUGGUAUACAAGACAAGAUUACAUGUGCUGUGGAAAGAAAGCUUACAAUCCAUGGGUUUUCUCUUGCUGCAAAAAUCGCAUCCUGUUUGGCAUGUACAGCAACUGCUAAAUAACCAACCCGACGUGAAGCGCAGUUGCCACAAUAUUCACCCUUUUUAUUCCUAUUUAUUCAUUGGACUUGCCCAAAAACAAUAACUGUUUAACACGCAGACUUGCCUCAAGUUUUUACGCUAUACAUUUAUAUAUUGUUGUAUUUUACACAUGGUAUUUUUGUUAUUAUUUGGACCUUACACGUUUGCAUUUAUACACACAAUAUUGAUCAGGUAACGAAAACCUCCGACGACUUGCGUCGUCCAUAUGUGAUCAAUACUACUCGAUAAACGGUAUCAUUAUACCAACGUGAUAUUAUCUACCAGUAUUAUUACUUGGAACAAUGCCGUUUUCUGGAUAUAUAUUCUUCUAUAAAGCACAGCUUUGAUUCACUAUCAAUUUGUCAUUUAACAAGU